Molecule: ribosomal RNA, 403 nt
Filed under: uncultured bacterium
Lineage: Bacteria
Description: partial 16S ribosomal RNA
Source: RNAcentral
AGCGACUGUGCAGGUUACCGCGGCUGCUGGCACGGAGUUAGCCGGUGCUUCUUCUGCGAGUAACGUCACAGAUGUAAGGUAUUAACUUACACCCUUUCCUCCUCGCUGAAAGUGCUUUACAACCCGAAGGCCUUCUUCACACACGCGGCAUGGCUGCAUCAGGGUUUCCCCCAUUGUGCAAUAUUCCCCACUGCUGCCUCCCGUAGGAGUCUGGGCCGUGUCUCAGUCCCAGUGUGGCUGAUCAUCCUCUCAGACCAGCUAGGGAUCGUCGCCUAGGUGAGCCUUUACCUCACCUACUAGCUAAUCCCACCUGGGCUUAUCCAUCAGCGCAAGGCCCAAGGUCCCCUGCUUUCCCCCGUAGGGCGUAUGCGGUAUUAGCAGUCGUUUCCAACUGUUAUCCCCC